Molecule: non-coding RNA, 1301 nt
Organism: Leptonychotes weddellii (Weddell seal)
Lineage: Eukaryota; Metazoa; Chordata; Mammalia; Carnivora; Phocidae
Source: RefSeq, a predicted model, not a curated record
UGCAAGGAUUAUCUCACUUAAUCCUUGUCAGUGAGGAAGGUUCAUUUAUGAUGUUAUUUUAUACAUGAAGAAACUAGGAACUCGAGAGCGUAAGUGACCUGUCCAAAGUCACACAGAGCUAUGAAUGGGAGCUGAGGCCUCGCAGUCAGAAAAUCUGGAUUCCAGCCGCUUGGAUCAAACAGCUUUAGAUGACUCGAUGAAAAGAGAAGGAAGAGCGUAUACCAAGGAGAAACCCUGACCAUCACUUCUAUUUACACUGUUGAAGACACUAAGAAAAACAUUCUGGAUCCAGGAGUCUUCUGAUUAAUAAGAGGUCUAAAUCAGUACAUGGAGAAACAAGUCAACACGGGUUAGUCUAUCUUUUCUUCCUGCUGGACGCCUCCUCUCAUCUCUCAUGGCCCUUCCUUCUCUGCUCCACCCCAUCUGGACUGACCAGUCUGUAAUGCAAAGGAAGAUAAAAGAUGAACUCUUGAUGCGGAUAGGAGAGUGAACACCUUAUUUUCAUUUCCACGGCACUUUUGACUCGGUGUAUACUUUUUUCCCUCACCUCUCAAAAUAAGCUGGCGAAGUUAAGAAGGCAAUGUCUAUCUUGGCAGUAGAGGGACUCGGCAGAGAGAACAAGCAGCAACCAACAGGAUAUCUACAAAGGCCUGGAUCCUGACUGCAAUGCUGUGCACCUAAGAAUAAAUGAAAAUGAAAUCAGAACAGAAGAAUAAAGGGCAAGGGAGAGAAUCAAACUCCACAGGAUAUGUGUAAAAUGCUUUUAGUGACCUCAAAUUAUGGGAUUAAAAAUGGAAUGAAAAGGAAAUGGUUUUGAAAGUAAAUGAUGGAACAUUUGAAUUUGCUCUCUAGGAAGUAACAAUAGCAAACCUCACUUAAGCUUCUGUGUAUUUAGAAAAUCAGAAACAAGGAGAAAUACUGGGACCAUUCUUUGGUUGGGGAGCCAUUAGAAACUACUAUUACUAAGAUAAUUCUCGAAAAGACAAGAAAGACCUCCAUUAAAACAAUAAAAAGGAGAGUCCACAGGGCCUCUGGAAGCAAGGGGCUUGAGUUGUUAGCGUCUCACCUCCCCUUCUUUUGUCCCAAACUCCAUCCCUUACCUACUGGGGAAGGUCAAAACCCAAACAACUCUAGAGCCAUGAGGGCCAGCGGUAUCAUUAGCAGGACCCAGAAGAAAAUGAAAAUGUAGAACCUCUUAUUCAAAAAGCAGAAAAUAGCAUGCUACUAGAGGUAUUAAAAUGAACACUUUUCCCUUUCUUCCAGUCUUUCUCUUGACUUGUCAUCGUGUGUUUUUUAUUUUU